RNAcentral lists this ribosomal RNA (478 nucleotides) under uncultured bacterium. Its description in RNAcentral is "partial 16S ribosomal RNA". It matches the Rfam family "Bacterial small subunit ribosomal RNA", at positions 28 to 523 of the family's 1533-position model. The record is from RNAcentral.
GACGAACGCUGGCGGCGUGCUUAACACAUGCAAGUCGAACGGAAAGGCCCUUCGGGGUACUCGAGUGGCGAACGGGUGAGUAACACGUGGGUGAUCUGCCCUGCACUUUGGGAUAAGCCUGGGAAACUGGGUCUAAUACCGAAUAGGACCACGCGCUUCAUGGUGUGUGGUGGAAAGCUUUUGCGGUGUGGGAUGGGCCCGCGGCCUAUCAGCUUGUUGGUGGGGUAAUGGCCUACCAAGGCGACGACGGGUAGCCGGCCUGAGAGGGUGACCGGCCGCACUGGGACUAAGAUACGGCCCAGACUCCUACGGGAGGCAGCAGAGGGGAAUAUUGCACAAUGGGCGCAAGACUGAUGCAGCGACGCCGCGUGAGGGAUGACGGCCUUCGGGUUGUAAACCUCUUUCGCCAGGGACGAAGCGCAAGUGACGGUACCUGGGGAAGAAGGACCGGCCAACUACGUGCCAGCAGCCGCCGUAA